GACGUAGGGGGCCAGCGUUGUUCGGAAUUACUGGGCGUAAAGGGUUCGUAGGCGGUGUGGCAAGUCGGGAGUGAAAUCUCUGGGCUCAACCCAGAGUCUGCUUCCGAAACUGCUGUGCUUGAGUGUGGGAGAGGCGCGUGGAAUUGCAGGUGUAGCGGUGAAAUGCGUAGAUAUCCGGAGGAACACCGGUGGCGAAGGCGGCUUCCUGGACCGAUUACUGACGCUGAGGCGCGAAAGCUAGGGGAGCAAACGGG
This 254-nucleotide ribosomal RNA is filed under the name uncultured bacterium. RNAcentral's name for it is "partial 16S ribosomal RNA". It matches the Rfam family "Bacterial small subunit ribosomal RNA", at positions 524 to 776 of the family's 1533-position model. The record is from RNAcentral.